This 326-nucleotide ribosomal RNA is filed under the name uncultured eukaryote. Its description in RNAcentral is "partial 18S ribosomal RNA". It matches the Rfam family "Eukaryotic small subunit ribosomal RNA", at positions 1471 to 1796 of the family's 1831-position model. The record is from RNAcentral.
CCUUAGAUGUUCUGGGCCGCACGCGCGCUACACUGACGAAUGCAACGAGCUUAUAACCUUGGCCGAAAGGUCUGGGUAAUCUCCAAAUUUCGUCGUGAUGGGGAUAGAUUAUUGCAAUUAUUAAUCUUCAACGAGGAAUGCCUAGUAAGCGCAAGUCAUCAGCUUGCGUUGAUUACGUCCCUGCCCUUUGUACACACCGCCCGUCGCUCCUACCGAUUGAAUGGUCCGGUGAAGCGUUCGGACCGUGGCCUUUGGACGGUUCGCCGUCUGUUGGCUGCGGGAAGUUCGUUAAACCUUAUCAUUUAGAGGAAGGAGAAGUCGUAACA